UACGAAGGGGGCUAGCGUUGUUCGGAAUUACUGCGCGUAAAGCGCACGUAGGCGGAUAUUUAAGUCGGGGGUGAAAUCCCGGGGCUCAACCCCGGAACUGCCUUCGAUACUGGGUAUCUUGAGUUCGGAAGAGGUGAGUGGAAUUGCGAGUGUAGAGGUGAAAUUCGUAGAUAUUCGCAGGAACACCAGUGGCGAAGGCGGCUCACUGGUCCGAUACUGACGCUGAGGUGCGAAAGCGUGGGGAGCAAACAGG
RNAcentral lists this ribosomal RNA (253 nucleotides) under uncultured bacterium. Its description in RNAcentral is "partial 16S ribosomal RNA". It matches the Rfam family "Bacterial small subunit ribosomal RNA", at positions 524 to 776 of the family's 1533-position model. The record is from RNAcentral.